AGCGAACGCUGGCGGCAGGCUUAACACAUGCAAGUCGAGCGGGCCCUUCGGGGUCAGCGGCGGACGGGUGAGUAACGCGUGGGAACGUGCCUUCUGGUCUGGAAUAACCCUGGGAAACUAGGGCUAAUACCGGAUACGCCCUUUUGGGGAAAGGUUUACUGCCGGAAGAUCGGCCCGCGUCUGAUUAGCUAGUUGGUGGGGUAACGGCCUACCAAGGCGACGAUCAGUAGCUGGUCUGAGAGGAUGAUCAGCCACACUGGGACUGAGACACGGCCCAGACUCCUACGGGAGGCAGCAGUGGGGAAUAUUGGACAAUGGGCGCAAGCCUGAUCCAGCCAUGCCGCGUGAGUGAUGAAGGCCUUAGGGUUGUAAAGCUCUUUUAUCCGGGAUGAUAAUGACGGUACCGGAGGAAUAAGCCCCGGCUAACUUCGUG
RNAcentral lists this ribosomal RNA (433 nucleotides) under uncultured bacterium. Its description in RNAcentral is "partial 16S ribosomal RNA". It matches the Rfam family "Bacterial small subunit ribosomal RNA", at positions 29 to 507 of the family's 1533-position model. The record is from RNAcentral.